Molecule: transfer-messenger RNA, 369 nt
Filed under: bacterium
Lineage: Bacteria
Rfam family: transfer-messenger RNA
About the family: Bacterial tmRNA, also known as 10Sa RNA or SsrA, is named for its dual tRNA and mRNA-like properties.
Source: RNAcentral
GGGGGUGACAGGCUUCGAUAGGGAGAAAAUAAAAGCAGGGCAGGUCAAGUGGCGGAACCUUGUAAAAAUCCGCAACACGAAUAAGUGCCAACUUAUUUAGCGUACCUAGUUACGCAAUGGCUCACGCUUAACGCGUAAGUCCGUCGUCUUCCGACUCCUCUGGGAAGGGUGCGGCGUCAUAGAGGAUAGAAGAAUAAUUUUGUCCAACGUUAUUCUUCAAAAUUUACCGGACUCGGAAUUGAAGAUCUUGCCGAUUUCAUACUUCAGUUUUUAAACGCCUCGCGAUGGCGAGGCUGGAAAUUGGCUAAACCCGUAGAACGGCUUUUGUCUACUUUCUAGACGGGAGUUCAAUUCUCCCCACCUCCACCA